RNAcentral lists this unclassified non-coding RNA (248 nucleotides) under Hevea brasiliensis (rubber tree). Lineage: Eukaryota; Viridiplantae; Streptophyta; Magnoliopsida; Malpighiales; Euphorbiaceae. The record is from RNAcentral.
GGAAAGCUUAGCUAGUUCAAAGAAGGUACCAGUUGUAUUCGUCAAAGACAAGAAAAGAGGUUCUUUGAGAUUGGGUGAACUGGUCAAACUUAAAACUGCAAUUGCCAUUGGUGUUAAGAAUAAAGGAAACAAGUUCAAUCAAUUUAUCAGCACUGAAAUACUCCACAAGUUUGAAUGACUAUAUUGCAAUGAGGCUUCAUACAGGGACAUUGAUCAAUAGUGUAUUGUGAAGGUGUAUCUAGUUUUUG